UUGGAAACUGGGAGACUUGAGUGCAGAAGAGGACAGUGGAACUCCAUGUGUAGCGGUGAAAUGCGUAGAUAUAUGGAAGAACACCAGUGGCGAAGGCGGCUGUCUGGUCUGUAACUGACGCUGAGGCUCGAAAGCAUGGGUAGCGAACAGGAUUAGAUACCCUGGUAGUCCAUGCCGUAAACGAUGAUUACUAAGUGUUGGAGGGUUUCCGCCCUUCAGUGCUGCAGCUAACGCAUUAAGUAAUCCGCCUGGGGAGUACGACCGCAAGGUUGAAACUCAAAAGAAUUGACGGGGGCCCGCACAAGCGGUGGAGCAUGUGGUUUAAUUCGAAGCUACGCGAAGAACCUUACCAGGUCUUGACAUCUUCUGCCAACCUAAGAGAUUAGGCGUUCCCUUCGGGGACAGAAUGACAGGUGGUGCAUGGUUGUCGUCAGCUCGUGUCGUGAGAUGUUGGGUUAAGUCCCGCAACGAGCGCAACCCUUAUUACUAGUUGCCAGCAUUCAGUUGGGCACUCUAGUGAGACUGCCGGUGACAAACCGGAGGAAGGUGGGGACGACGUCAAAUCAUCAUGCCCCUUAUGACCUGGGCUACACACGUGCUACAAUGGAUGGUACAACGAGUCGCGAAACCGCGAGGUUUAGCUAAUCUCUUAAAACCAUUCUCAGUUCGGACUGUAGGCUGCAACUCGCCUACACGAAGUCGGAAUCGCUAGUAAUCGCGGAUCAGCAUGCCGCGGUGAAUACGUUCCCGGGCCUUGUACACACCGCCCGUCACACCAUGAGAGUUUGUAACACCCAAAGCCGGUGGGGUAACCUUUUAGGAGCUAGCCGUC
RNAcentral lists this ribosomal RNA (832 nucleotides) under Pediococcus acidilactici. RNAcentral's name for it is "bacterial SSU rRNA". It matches the Rfam family "Bacterial small subunit ribosomal RNA", at positions 626 to 1457 of the family's 1533-position model. The record is from RNAcentral. Lineage: Bacteria; Bacillati; Bacillota; Bacilli; Lactobacillales; Lactobacillaceae.